This 511-nucleotide ribosomal RNA is filed under the name uncultured Oscillibacter sp. RNAcentral's name for it is "partial 16S ribosomal RNA". Lineage: Bacteria; Bacillati; Bacillota; Clostridia; Eubacteriales; Oscillospiraceae. The record is from RNAcentral.
CACGUAGUUGGCCGUGGCUUAUUCAAGAGGUACCGUCUUCUGCUCUUCCCUCUUAAAAGAAGUUUACAACCCGAAAGCCUUCUUCCUUCACGCGGCGUUGCUGGGUCAGGCUUGCGCCCAUUGCCCAAUAUUCCCCACUGCUGCCUCCCGUAGGAGUCUGGGCCGUAUCUCAGUCCCAAUGUGGCCGGUCAACCUCUCAGUCCGGCUACUGAUCGUCGCCUAGGUGGGCCGUUACCCCGCCUACUAGCUAAUCAGACGCGAGGCCAUCUUCCAGCGAUAAAUCUUUGACAUUCAAACCAUGCGAUUCAAAUGUGUCAUGCGGUAUUAGCAGUCGUUUCCAACUGUUGUCCCCCUCUGGAAGGCAGGGUCCUCACGCGCUACUCACCAGUCCGCCACUAAGCCUAUUCCUCUCCUAUUCGUACCCGUAAAACUUCUUUACGAAGGGUUGCCGUUCCGUUCGACUUGCUAGUGUUAGUUAACGCACCGGCCGCCGAGUCGUUCGUCCGUGACG